RNAcentral lists this ribosomal RNA (492 nucleotides) under uncultured bacterium. RNAcentral's name for it is "partial 16S ribosomal RNA". It matches the Rfam family "Bacterial small subunit ribosomal RNA", at positions 29 to 507 of the family's 1533-position model. The record is from RNAcentral.
AGUGAACGCUGGCGGUAGGCCUAACACAUGCAAGUCGAACGGCAGCACAGUAAGAGCUUGCUCUUACGGGUGGCGAGUGGCGGACGGGUGAGGAAUACAUCGGAAUCUACUUUUUCGUGGGGGAUAACGUAGGGAAACUUACGCUAAUACCGCAUACGACCUACGGGUGAAAGCAGGGGAUCUUCGGACCUUGCGCGAUUGAAUGAGCCGAUGUCGGAUUAGCUAGUUGGCGGGGUAAAGGCCCACCAAGGCGACGAUCCGUAGCUGGUCUGAGAGGAUGAUCAGCCACACUGGAACUGAGACACGGUCCAGACUCCUACGGGAGGAAGCAGUGGGGAAUAUUGGACAAUGGGCGCAAGCCUGAUCCAGCCAUACCGCGUGGGUGAAGAAGGCCUUCGGGUUGUAAAGCCCUUUUGCUGGGAAAGAAAAGCAGCAGGUUAAUACCCCGCUGUUCUGACGGUACCCAAAGAAUAAGCACCGGCUAACUUCGUG